CUAGCUGCGUGAAUUAAUGUGAAUUGCAGAACACAUUGAACAUCGACAUCUUGAACGCACAUGGCGGCCUCGGGUUUACCCCGGGGCCACGCCCGUCUGAGGGUCGGUUUGCUAAAGCGAUCGCUACCUUGCCCGUUUGAAAUUUCCCUAUGAAAAUAGGGAAGUUUCCCGGUAGCGCAUUGGGCCUUCGUGGAUAAGCGGAAACGGUGUCGAGCUCAUCACCAACCAUUUGCUCUCGGUGGGAGGUGUAUGUACGGGCUCGUUAAAGUUUCGCACGUUCUCGUGGCUUCAAGUUCAGGAUGCGCCGUCGUCCUAUCUGUCCUACGAGAUGCUGCUCGCCUCGUCGGUGGUCUCUCGCUGCUCGGCAGGUACCCGGCUCGUGCUUUCAAAACGAGCUGUACGGACCAUGGCCGAGCGUGAAAUGUUCGGGAGAUGGGCCGCAUAGCAGCGAUUCGUACGGGCUAACGGCGCCCCUCGCCCAUACACUUUCAUUAGUGUGGCGUGGUUUUUUUCAUUCUAUCCGACCUCAGAUCGGACGAGAUUACCCGCUGAAUUUAAGCAUAUUACUAAGCGGAGGAAAAGAAACUAACAAGGAUUUCCCUAGUAACGG
This 610-nucleotide ribosomal RNA is filed under the name Rhodacmea elatior (domed ancylid). RNAcentral describes it as "eukaryotic LSU rRNA". The stretch from base 522 to 610 matches the Rfam family "Eukaryotic large subunit ribosomal RNA", at positions 1 to 89 of the family's 3401-position model. The record is from RNAcentral. Lineage: Eukaryota; Metazoa; Mollusca; Gastropoda; Ancylidae.